UACGGGGGGAGCAAGCGUUGUUCGGAUUUACUGGGCGUAAAGGGCGCGUAGGCGGCGCAACAAGUCACUUGUGAAAUCUCCGGGCUUAACUCGGAAAGGUCAAGUGAUACUGUUGUGCUAGAGUGCGGAAGGGGCAACUGGAAUUCUCGGUGUAGCGGUGAAAUGCGUAGAUAUCGAGAGGAACACCGGUGGCGAAGGCGGAUCUCUGGGCCUUACCUGACGCUCAGGCGCGAAAGCUAGGGGAGCGAACAGG
Molecule: ribosomal RNA, 253 nt
Filed under: uncultured bacterium
Lineage: Bacteria
Description: partial 16S ribosomal RNA
Rfam family: Bacterial small subunit ribosomal RNA
Source: RNAcentral